This 305-nucleotide ribosomal RNA is filed under the name uncultured bacterium. RNAcentral's name for it is "bacterial SSU rRNA". It matches the Rfam family "Bacterial small subunit ribosomal RNA", at positions 336 to 638 of the family's 1533-position model. The record is from RNAcentral.
UUCCUACGGGGGGCAGCAGUGAGGAAUAUUGGUCAAUGGGCGAGAGCCUGAACCAGCCAAGUCGCGUGAAGGAUGACGGCCCUAUGGGUUGUAAACUUCUUUUGUCAGGGAGCAAUUGGGUCCACGUGUGGGCUUAGCGAGAGUACCUGAAGAAAAAGCAUCGGCUAACUCCGUGCCAGCAGCCGCGGUAAUACGGAGGAUGCGAGCGUUAUCCGGAUUUAUUGGGUUUAAAGGGUGCGUAGGCGGGACGGUAAGUCAGCGGUAAAAAUGCGGAGCUCAACUCCGUCGAGCCGUUGAAACUGCCG